This is a small nucleolar RNA of Eutrema salsugineum, 106 nucleotides long. It matches the Rfam family "Plant small nucleolar RNA R71". Rfam says of the family: R71 is a member of the C/D box family of snoRNAs containing the C (UGAUGA) and D (CUGA) box motifs. Multiple nearly identical copies of this snoRNA have been identified in Arabidopsis, and it is thought to function as a 2'-O-ribose methylation guide for 18S ribosomal RNA. The record is from Rfam. Lineage: Eukaryota; Viridiplantae; Streptophyta; Magnoliopsida; Brassicales; Brassicaceae.
AAACCAUGAUUAGGGCAGUCUCUCUCAUACUCCUUAAAUCGCUCCCAAGCUUCAUAGAAUGAUUAUAUUGGGUCUUGUUAUAAACUUUGUAUCUUGAUUCUCAGCU